GGUAAGAUGGCUGAGUUUGUAGGCGGUAGAUUGUAAAUCUAAGAAGGGGGUAUUAUUCCUCUUACCG
This 67-nucleotide transfer RNA is filed under the name Neoperla sp. FS-2017. RNAcentral describes it as "tRNA-Tyr". It matches the Rfam family "tRNA". From Rfam's summary of the family: Transfer RNA (tRNA) molecules are approximately 80 nucleotides in length. Their secondary structure includes four short double-helical elements and three loops (D, anti-codon, and T loops). Further hydrogen bonds mediate the characteristic L-shaped molecular structure. tRNAs have two regions of fundamental functional importance: the anti-codon, which is responsible for specific mRNA codon recognition, and the 3' end, to which the tRNAs corresponding amino acid is attached (by aminoacyl-tRNA synthetases). tRNAs cope with the degeneracy of the genetic code in two manners: having more than one tRNA (with a specific anti-codon) for a particular amino acid; and 'wobble' base-pairing, i.e. permitting non-standard base-pairing at the 3rd anti-codon position. The record is from RNAcentral. Lineage: Eukaryota; Metazoa; Arthropoda; Insecta; Plecoptera; Perlidae.